Molecule: transfer RNA, 73 nt
Filed under: Candidatus Lloydbacteria bacterium RIFCSPHIGHO2_01_FULL_54_11
Lineage: Bacteria; Candidatus Lloydiibacteriota
Also listed under: 5 other names
Description: tRNA-Phe
Rfam family: tRNA
About the family: Transfer RNA (tRNA) molecules are approximately 80 nucleotides in length. Their secondary structure includes four short double-helical elements and three loops (D, anti-codon, and T loops).
Source: RNAcentral
GCUCGGGUAGCUCAGUUGGUAGAGCGUCCGCCUGAAGAGCGGUAGGUCGCCGGUUCGACCCCGGCCCCGAGCA